GACGAACGCUGGCGGCGUGCUUAACACAUGCAAGUCGAACGGAAAGGCCUCUUUCGGGGGGUACUCGAGUGGCGAACGGGUGAGUAACACGUGAGUAACCUGCCCUUGACUUUGGGAUAACUUCAGGAAACUGGGGCUAAUACCGGAUAGGAGCUCCUGCUGCAUGGUGGGGGUUGGAAAGUUUCGGCGGUUGGGGGUGGACUCGCGGCUUAUCAGCUUGUUGGUGGGGUAGUGGCUUACCAAGGCUUUGACGGGUAGCCGGCCUGGGAGGGUGACCGGCCACAUUGGGACUGGGAUACGGCCCAGACUCCUACGGGAGGCAGCAGUGGGGAAUAUUGCACAAUGGGUGGAAGCCUGAUGCAGCAACGCCGUGUGCGGGAUGACGGCCUUCGGGUUGGAAACCGCUUUCGCUCAUGACGAAGCUUUGUGUGACGGUAGUGGGUAAAGAAGCACCGGCUAACUACGUG
RNAcentral lists this ribosomal RNA (467 nucleotides) under uncultured bacterium. RNAcentral's name for it is "partial 16S ribosomal RNA". It matches the Rfam family "Bacterial small subunit ribosomal RNA", at positions 28 to 507 of the family's 1533-position model. The record is from RNAcentral.